Molecule: non-coding RNA, 101 nt
Filed under: Anaerococcus prevotii
Lineage: Bacteria; Bacillati; Bacillota; Tissierellia; Tissierellales; Peptoniphilaceae
Also listed under: 1 other name
Description: TPP sequence
Rfam family: TPP riboswitch aptamer (THI element)
About the family: Vitamin B(1) in its active form thiamin pyrophosphate (TPP) is an essential coenzyme that is synthesised by coupling of pyrimidine and thiazole moieties in bacteria.
Source: RNAcentral
AUAAGUAGCUAGGGGUGCAAUUUAGCUGAGAGAUGGAAUUUCCAUUAACCCUUUAAACUUGUUAGGUUAAAACCUGCGUAAGAAAGCUAUUAUUAAGUGAA